This 455-nucleotide long non-coding RNA is filed under the name Capra hircus (goat). RNAcentral's name for it is "lncRNA (ENSCHIG00000000645.1)". Lineage: Eukaryota; Metazoa; Chordata; Mammalia; Artiodactyla; Bovidae. The record is from RNAcentral.
CUCUGUUUCCAUGCAUGCGCAGAGGAAAGGCAGUGUGGAGAGGCAGUGAAAGCUGGGAAAAGAGGGCUAAGCAGUAACCACCCCUGCUGGCCUCCUGACCUUGGACUUGCAGGCUCCAGAACUGUGAAAGGAUCCAUAUGCGUUGUUUAACCCCCCUAGUCUCUCACGGUGGCCGGAGCUGACUUGGACGACAGCCAUGGAGACUCACUUAUUUUCCAGGGGACUGCAGAUCCCAGAUUCUACAGAGCAGCAGCUUCCUCAGGAAGAGUGGCCGUUCUUUUCACGAUAAUGAAAGUGUAAGAAGUACCUCCACAUGCCACACAAGUGGACAGGGAAGCCUGCUGGUGUGGCCCAUGGAUGCCAGUCUUCCAGAGCCCGGAGAAGAGUGGAGAAGGGCCAGAAGUGGAAUCGGAGGAGUAAAUAGCCCAUGUGAGGCUUCUGAUAGAUCUGCCUAG